RNAcentral lists this ribosomal RNA (463 nucleotides) under uncultured bacterium. RNAcentral describes it as "bacterial SSU rRNA". It matches the Rfam family "Bacterial small subunit ribosomal RNA", at positions 32 to 507 of the family's 1533-position model. The record is from RNAcentral.
AAUCAACGCUGGCGGCGUGCCUCAGACAUGCAAGUCGAACGAUUAAAGCUCUCUUCGGAGAGUGCAUAGAGUGGCGCACGGGUGAGUAACACGUAAGUAAUCUACCUUCGAGUGGGAAUAACGUCCGGAACGGACGCUAAUACCGCAUAAUGCAGCGGCAUCGUAAGAUGACAGUUGUUAAAGAUUUAUCGCUUGAAGAGGAGCUUGCGGCAGAUUAGCUAGUUGGUAAGGUAAUGGCUUACCAAGGCUACGAUCUGUAACCGGUCUUAGAGGACGGUCGGUCACACUGACACUGAAUAACGGGUCAGACUCCUACGGGAGGCAGCAGUCGGGAAUUUUGGGCAAUGGGCGAAAGCCUGACCCAGCAACGCCGCGUGAAGGAUGAAGUAUUUCGGUAUGUAAACUUCGAAAGAAUAGGAAGAAUAAAUGACGGUACUAUUUAUAAGGUCCGGCUAACUACGUG